This 495-nucleotide ribosomal RNA is filed under the name uncultured bacterium. RNAcentral describes it as "partial 16S ribosomal RNA". It matches the Rfam family "Bacterial small subunit ribosomal RNA", at positions 28 to 507 of the family's 1533-position model. The record is from RNAcentral.
GACGAACGCUGGCGGCGUGCCUAAUACAUGCAAGUCGAACGCUGAAGGAGGAGCUUGCUUCUCUGGAUGAGUUGCGAACGGGUGAGUAACGCGUAGGUAACCUGCCUGGUAGCGGGGGAUAACUAUUGGAAACGAUAGCUAAUACCGCAUAAUAUUGACUAUUGCAUGAUAGUCAGUUGAAAGGUGCAACUGCACCACUACCAGAUGGACCUGCGUUGUAUUAGCUAGUUGGUGGGGUAACGGCUCACCAAGGCGACGAUACAUAGCCGACCUGAGAGGGUGAUCGGCCACACUGGGAAUGAGACACGGCCCAGACUCCUACGGGAGGCAGCAGUAGGGAAUCUUCGGCAAUGGACGGAAGUCUGAACGAGCAACGCCGCGGGAGGGAAGAAGGGUUUCGGAUCGGAAAGCUCUGUUGUAAGGGAAGAACGAGUGUGAGAGUGGAAAGCUCACACUGUGACGGUAUCUUAACAGAAAGGGACGGCUAACUACGUG